CGUGGGGUCACCACGUGGUCUCGCGCCGCCAUCACUGCUCACGGAGUCGCUGCCGCCAACUCCCCGCCCGUGUGGGCCCGUGCAGUUGCACCGCCUGCACACGCGGCAGGAGACGUGGCCGCUGGUGGUGUGCCGCGUGCUCGUAGUUUUAGUGGACUGUAUCGUCCUUGCCCGCACAGGAAAUCAAAGUGGAGCCUGGGACGCGUCACGCAGCCGCCCCUACCUGCUGCCGGUGUGCGGACACGCGUCUCGUGUGGAGCAUGCCUGCAGGACAAAGGCACGCGCACGCGCGGGCUGCGAGUUUGUGUGCCCGACCU
Lethenteron reissneri (Far Eastern brook lamprey) is the source of this 317-nucleotide long non-coding RNA. RefSeq lists it as uncharacterized. NCBI's taxonomy places the organism in Eukaryota, Metazoa, Chordata, Hyperoartia, Petromyzontiformes, Petromyzontidae. The record is from RefSeq and is a predicted model, not a curated record.